UGUGUGAGCUGGGCUCUGUCCCUUGGGUUCUGUACAAAUACACGGAGCUGCCCAGGGAACAGCAUAAGAAGCUGAUUUUUGUAGUUACAGGCUGUUCCACAUCACCCAUUUACAAGCGUGAGUGCAUCUCCAUCCACGUUGGCCAGGCUGGUGUCCAGAUCGGCAAUGCCUGCUGGGAGCUCUAUUGCCUGGAACACGGCAUCCAGCCCAAUGGCCAGAUGCCAAGUGACAAGACCAUUGGGGGAGGAGAUGACUCCUUCAACACCUUCUUCAGCGAGACGGGGGCUGGCAAGCAUGUGCCCAGGGCAGUGUUUGUAGACCUGGAACCCACGGUCAUUGAUGAAGUUCGCACUGGCACCUACCGCCAGCUCUUCCACCCUGAGCAGCUCAUCACAGGCAAGGAAGAUGCUGCCAACAACUACGCCCGAGGGCACUACACCAUUGGCAAGGAGAUCAUUGACCUUGUCUUGGACCGAAUUCGCAAGCUGGCUGACCAGUGCACAGGUCUUCAGGGCUUCUUGGUUUUCCACAGCUUCGGUGGGGGAACUGGGUCGGGGUUCACCUCCCUGCUGAUGGAACGUCUCUCUGGAUUAUGGCAAGAAGUCCAAGCUGGAGUUCUCCAUCUACCCAGCCCCCCAGGUUUCCACAGCUGUGGUUGAGCCCUACAACUCCAUCCUCACCACCCACACCACCCUGGAGCACUCUGAUUGUGCCUUCAUGGUAGACAAUGAGGCCAUCUAUGAC
This is an RNA transcript of Carlito syrichta (Philippine tarsier), 744 nucleotides long. It is a transcript of the gene named tubulin alpha-1C chain-like, with no coding region annotated. Lineage: Eukaryota; Metazoa; Chordata; Mammalia; Primates; Tarsiidae. The record is from RefSeq and is a predicted model, not a curated record. The transcript has 4 exons.